This 98-nucleotide microRNA precursor is filed under the name Phlebotomus papatasi. RNAcentral describes it as "microRNA mir-932". The stretch from base 10 to 85 matches the Rfam family "mir-932 microRNA precursor family". Lineage: Eukaryota; Metazoa; Arthropoda; Insecta; Diptera; Psychodidae. The record is from RNAcentral.
UUUCUUGGAAUCGACCUCAAUUCCGUAGUGCAUUGCAGUGUAUUAAAUUGAUCAAUUGCAAGCACUGCGGGAGUGAAGUUGAUGGUGAGAAGAACAAC